This is a long non-coding RNA of Rhipicephalus microplus (southern cattle tick), 512 nucleotides long. NCBI's taxonomy places the organism in Eukaryota, Metazoa, Arthropoda, Arachnida, Ixodida, Ixodidae. The record is from RefSeq and is a predicted model, not a curated record.
CUCCGACGACGUGGCAACCAACUUAGCUGCUGCUGACUUAGUAGCACUUUUUUCAAUUCCUGGCUGCGGUUAGUCCAAGGGUGCAAAAGAACAUGAAGGGGUUUCCUGAAGGCAUCCUUUUUUUGAUGGGCCUACUAUUUUUAAUAUCCUCGCUGGAACCCUCUAUUGUGGAUGCUAUAAAUCUUCCACCAUUACACAGAGUUUUCACAAGACUAUUCCGAAGACAGCGAUCACGACCCGAAUUGCCCUCCUUCCCAGCACAAAAGAGCUCCAAGUAUAACAAUAACAAGUCAGCGGCAGAAUGAAAACACCACUUUUGCAGGCAGCUUCACAUCCUUGUAAUCUAGAACCUUGGAAAACAGAGUUGAGAUUUUUUCUUGUCUACAAGAUACGAGUUUCACCAAAAUGGUCAAGACAAAAAGGAUUGAAGAUGCCUAAGAACAUGAAAUGGCAAAGUCCUAAUGCAUGAAACAAAUGCGCAAGAAUUCAUUUUUUUUUUUGUGUAACUGAAU